Molecule: ribosomal RNA, 513 nt
Filed under: uncultured bacterium
Lineage: Bacteria
Description: partial 16S ribosomal RNA
Rfam family: Bacterial small subunit ribosomal RNA
Source: RNAcentral
GACGAACGCUGGCGGCGUGCUUAACACAUGCAAGUCGAACGAAAAGAGGGAAAGAGCUUGCUCUUUCCGGAAUUGAGUGGCAAACGGGUGAGUAACACGUAAACAACCUGCCUUCAGGAUGGGGACAACAGACGGAAACGACUGCUAAUACCGAAUAAGUUCCAAGGGCCGCAUGGCCCAUGGAAGAAAAGGUGGCCUCUACCUGUAAGCUAUCGCCUGAAGAGGGGUUUGCGUCUGAUUAGCUGGUUGGAGGGGUAACGGCCCACCAAGGCGACGAUCAGUAGCCGGUCUGAGAGGAUGAACGGCCACUCUGGAACUGAGACACGGUCCAGACUCCUACGGGAGGCAGCAGUGGGGAAUCUUCCGCAAUGGGCGAAAGCCUGACGGAGCAACGCCGCGUGAGUGAUGACGGCCUUCGGGUUGUAAAACUCUGUGAUCCGGGACGAAAAGGCAGAGUGCGAAGAACAAACUGCAUUGACGGUACCGGAAAAGCAAGCCACGGCUAACUACGUG